AGUGAACGCUGGCGGUAGGCCUAACACAUGCAAGUCGAACGGCAGCACAGUAAGAGCUUGCUCUUACGGGUGGCGAGUGGCGGACGGGUGAGGAAUACAUCGGAAUCUACUUUUUCGUGGGGGAUAACGUAGGGAAACUUACGCUAUACCGCAUAACACCUACCGGUGAAAGCAAGGGGUCUUCGGACCUUGCGCGAUUGAAUGAGCCGAUGUCGGAUUAGCUAGUUGGCGGGGUAAAGGCCCACCAAGGCGACGAUCCGUAGCUGGUCUGAGAGGAUGAUCAGCCACACUGGAACUGAGACACGGUCCAGACUCCUACGGGAGGCAGCAGUGGGGAAUAUUGGACAAUGGGCGCAAGCCUGAUCCAGCCAUACCGCGUGGGUGAAGAAGGCCUUCGGGUUGUAAAGCCCUUUUGUUGGGAAAGAAAAGCAGCAGGUUAAUACCCCGCUGUUCUGACGGUACCCAAAGAAUAAGCACCGGCUAACUUCGUG
Molecule: ribosomal RNA, 491 nt
Filed under: uncultured bacterium
Lineage: Bacteria
Description: partial 16S ribosomal RNA
Rfam family: Bacterial small subunit ribosomal RNA
Source: RNAcentral